CACCACCACCAUCCUCCUCCUUAGCCCUCACUGCUGCUCUCUGCUCCGUUUCAGGGAGGAAAUGGCUUCUCCUGCCCCAGAGGACCUCUAGACCUCCUGGGCCGGACCUCCAAGCCUGUCGGACUUGCAACAUCCGGACCUGUGCCUCCAACGCACUGUGCUUGCACAGCGGAGGACCCAAUCCGAUUUGGUUGCAGUAUGUUGCUGUGUUCCCAGAACUCAGCAAUGACUUUGAUGAGCACAAAAGACUUCCGAGGGGGACCUUCACAGCAACCUGAUGUCUUGAGGAUGAGGCUGGGGCUUUAGGCUGCAGCGCCAGAGGCACUGGGGCUGAUGAAGCUUGGCCCGGGGCCCAUGUUUGCAUUCCCUCUCACUGAGGAAGCCCAGGAUGAAAGAGCACCACUGCACACACAGACACAUGCCAUCUACGCACACAUACACACUCACAGACAAGUACUUUGGAUGCACCAGAGGGCAAAUGGUUGUUGUAAUUGAGUCAAUAAGAGCAGGAUUCGAAGUUAUAACUUUCAGCAAUUACUAACUAAAGUGGAAUAAACGUGGGGUGCAGUUAA
This is a long non-coding RNA of Perca flavescens (yellow perch), 572 nucleotides long. RefSeq lists it as uncharacterized. NCBI's taxonomy places the organism in Eukaryota, Metazoa, Chordata, Actinopteri, Perciformes, Percidae. The transcript has 3 exons. The record is from RefSeq and is a predicted model, not a curated record.